Molecule: long non-coding RNA, 212 nt
Organism: Polypterus senegalus (gray bichir)
Lineage: Eukaryota; Metazoa; Chordata; Cladistia; Polypteriformes; Polypteridae
Exons: 3
Source: RefSeq, a predicted model, not a curated record
AGUGUCUAUCUACUGACCUCUGUAAGUACUCCACAGUCAGUGGCUGAAGAGAAGUAUAAUGCUGCAAAUCAGCGGCUGCUGUCGCAAAUAAAAAAUCCAAACCUCAACCUGCACCGUUGUUGGAAUACAGUUUUACAACCAUUCAGUUAACUUACCUCAAACAGCAGAAGAUGUGAGUUAGCGUACCAGAGAUGCGACUUGCAUAUGUGUUG